RNAcentral lists this ribosomal RNA (1237 nucleotides) under Achromobacter xylosoxidans. RNAcentral describes it as "partial 16S ribosomal RNA". It matches the Rfam family "Bacterial small subunit ribosomal RNA", at positions 40 to 1311 of the family's 1533-position model. The record is from RNAcentral. Lineage: Bacteria; Pseudomonadati; Pseudomonadota; Betaproteobacteria; Burkholderiales; Alcaligenaceae.
UGGGAAGCAUACCAUGCAGUCGAACGGCAGCACGGACUUCUGUCUGGUGGGGAGAGGGGAAGAGGUGAGUAAAGUGCCGGAGCGUGCCUCGGGGCGGGGGAGACUCCCCGAAAGCGUAGCUCAUACCGCGCACGCCCUACGGGGGAAAGCAGGGGAGACCUUCACCUUGCACUAUUAGAGCGGCCGAUAUCGGAUUUUAUAGUUGGUGGGGUAACGGGUCUCAAGGCGACAAUAUGUAUCUGGUUUGAGAGGAGACCUCCCUCCUGGGACUGAGACAGGCCCCCACUCCUACGGGAGGCGCACUGGGGAAUUUUGGACAUGGGGGAAACCCUGAUCCCCCAUCCCGCGUGUGUGAUGAAAGCCUUCGGGUUGUAAAGCACUUUUGGCAGGAAAGAGAAUCAUGGGCUAAUACCCCGUGAAACUGACGGUACCUGCACAAUAUACACCGGCUAACUCUCUGCCAGCAGCCGCGGUAAUAUACAGGGUGCAAGCGUUAAUCGGAAUUACUGGGCGUAAAGCGUGCGCAGGCGGUUCGGAAAGAAAGAUGUGAAAUCCCCAGCUUAUCUUUGGAACUGCUUUUUUAACUACUGACCUACAGUGUGUCGGAGGGAGGUGGAAUUACUCGUGUAGCAGUGAAAUGCUGAGAUAUGCGGAGGAACACCGAUGGUGAAGGCAGCCUCCUGGGAUAACGCUGACGCUCAUGCAGUAAAACGUGGGGAGCAAACAAGAUUAUAUAAUCUGGUGGUCCACGCCCUAAACGAUGUCAACUACCUGUUGGGGCCUUCGGGCCUUGCUAGCGCAGCUAACGCGUGAAGUUGACCGCCUGCGGAGUACAGUUCGCCACGAUUAAGAACUCACAGGAAUUGACUGGCACGCGCACACACGGUGGGAUGAUGUGGUGUGAAUUCUAUGCAACGCGAAAAAACUUAACCUACCCUUGACAUGUCUGGAAUGCUCAGACAUUUGAUAGUGCUCGCAGAGAGCAGCAACACAAGUGCUGCAUGGCUGUCGUCAGCUCGUGUCGUGAGAUGAUGUGUGAGUACCUGCACGAGCGCACCCCUCGUCGUCAGUGCUACAACGGCACUCGUAUGAACUGCAGUGACUACGAGAAGCUGUAAUAACGUCAGUCUCAUGCCCUAUGUACGCUCGCACGGUCAUACAUGUCGGACUGAGUGACCAACUGUAGGAGCAGUCCGAAAUCGACUCGAAUCGAUUCGAUUGGAACUGAACUUGCGUA